AUCUUAUACAUUCAAUUUUGUAAUACAAUUUAACUAUCUAUUUCAUAAAAAACUCGAUUUUAAUUCUACACACUUCAUCUUACUUGAUAAUGAUUUCAUGUCAAAAUAGUAUAUAUAUAUGAGAUCAAAUCUAUAUCUUAGUUAAUAUUAAAAAUUAUUAACAAUUAACAAAACAUAAUUCAUAAUAAUAAAACAUUUGUUAAUACCAUAUAUAUUAAAAAUUUGACCAAUAACAUAUAUAAU
Molecule: small RNA, 243 nt
Filed under: Arabidopsis thaliana (thale cress)
Lineage: Eukaryota; Viridiplantae; Streptophyta; Magnoliopsida; Brassicales; Brassicaceae
Description: ATSL099470
Source: RNAcentral